GGUUAAGCGACUAAGCGUACACGGUGGAUGCCCUGGCAGUCAGAGGCGAUGAAGGACGUGCUAAUCUGCGAUAAGCGUCGGUAAGGUGAUAUGAACCGUUAUAACCGGCGAUUUCCGAAUGGGGAAACCCAGUGUGUUUCGACACACUAUCAUUAACUGAAUCCAUAGGUUAAUGAGGCGAACCGGGGGAACUGAAACAUCUAAGUACCCCGAGGAAAAGAAAUCAACCGAGAUUCCCCCAGUAGCGGCGAGCGAACGGGGAGGAGCCCAGAGCCUGAAUCAGUAUGUGUGUUAGUGGAAGCGUCUGGAAAGGCGCGCGAUACAGGGUGACAGCCCCGUACACAAAAAUGCACAUGCUGUGAGCUCGAUGAGUAGGGCGGGACACGUGGUAUCCUGUCUGAAUAUGGGGGGACCAUCCUCCAAGGCUAAAUACUCCUGACUGACCGAUAGUGAACCAGUACCGUGAGGGAAAGGCGAAAAGAACCCCGGCGAGGGGAGUGAAAAAGAACCUGAAACCGUGUACGUACAAGCAGUGGGAGCACGCUUAGGCGUGUGACUGCGUACCUUUUGUAUAAUGGGUCAGCGACUUAUAUUCUGUAGCAAGGUUAACCGAAUAGGGGAGCCGAAGGGAAACCGAGUCUUAACUGGGCGUUAAGUUGCAGGGUAUAGACCCGAAACCCGGUGAUCUAGCCAUGGGCAGGUUGAAGGUUGGGUAACACUAACUGGAGGACCGAACCGACUAAUGUUGAAAAAUUAGCGGAUGACUUGUGGCUGGGGGUGAAAGGCCAAUCAAACCGGGAGAUAGCUGGUUCUCCCCGAAAGCUAUUUAGGUAGCGCCUCGUGAAUUCAUCUCCGGGGGUAGAGCACUGUUUCGGCAAGGGGGUCAUCCCGACUUACCAACCCGAUGCAAACUGCGAAUACCGGAGAAUGUUAUCACGGGAGACACACGGCGGGUGCUAACGUCCGUCGUGAAGAGGGAAACAACCCAGACCGCCAGCUAAGGUCCCAAAGUCAUGGUUAAGUGGGAAACGAUGUGGGAAGGCCCAGACAGCCAGGAUGUUGGCUUAGAAGCAGCCAUCAUUUAAAGAAAGCGUAAUAGCUCACUGGUCGAGUCGGCCUGCGCGGAAGAUGUAACGGGGCUAAACCAUGCACCGAAGCUGCGGCAGCGACGCUUAUGCGUUGUUGGGUAGGGGAGCGUUCUGUAAGCCUGUGAAGGUGUACUGUGAGGUAUGCUGGAGGUAUCAGAAGUGCGAAUGCUGACAUAAGUAACGAUAAAGCGGGUGAAAAGCCCGCUCGCCGGAAGACCAAGGGUUCCUGUCCAACGUUAAUCGGGGCAGGGUGAGUCGACCCCUAAGGCGAGGCCGAAAGGCGUAGUCGAUGGGAAACAGGUUAAUAUUCCUGUACUUGGUGUUACUGCGAAGGGGGGACGGAGAAGGCUAUGUUGGCCGGGCGACGGUUGUCCCGGUUUAAGCGUGUAGGCUGGUUUUCCAGGCAAAUCCGGAAAAUCAAGGCUGAGGCGUGAUGACGAGGCACUACGGUGCUGAAGCAACAAAUGCCCUGCUUCCAGGAAAAGCCUCUAAGCAUCAGGUAACAUCAAAUCGUACCCCAAACCGACACAGGUGGUCAGGUAGAGAAUACCAAGGCGCUUGAGAGAACUCGGGUGAAGGAACUAGGCAAAAUGGUGCCGUAACUUCGGGAGAAGGCACGCUGAUAUGUAGGUGAAGUCCCUCGCGGAUGGAGCUGAAAUCAGUCGAAGAUACCAGCUGGCUGCAACUGUUUAUUAAAAACACAGCACUGUGCAAACACGAAAGUGGACGUAUACGGUGUGACGCCUGCCCGGUGCCGGAAGGUUAAUUGAUGGGGUCAGCGCAAGCGAAGCUCUUGAUCGAAGCCCCGGUAAACGGCGGCCGUAACUAUAACGGUCCUAAGGUAGCGAAAUUCCUUGUCGGGUAAGUUCCGACCUGCACGAAUGGCGUAAUGAUGGCCAGGCUGUCUCCACCCGAGACUCAGUGAAAUUGAACUCGCUGUGAAGAUGCAGUGUACCCGCGGCAAGACGGAAAGACCCCGUGAACCUUUACUAUAGCUUGACACUGAACAUUGAGCCUUGAUGUGUAGGAUAGGUGGGAGGCUUUGAAGUGUGGACGCCAGUCUGCAUGGAGCCGACCUUGAAAUACCACCCUUUAAUGUUUGAUGUUCUAACGUUGACCCGUAAUCCGGGUUGCGGACAGUGUCUGGUGGGUAGUUUGACUGGGGCGGUCUCCUCCUAAAGAGUAACGGAGGAGCACGAAGGUUGGCUAAUCCUGGUCGGACAUCAGGAGGUUAGUGCAAUGGCAUAAGCCAGCUUGACUGCGAGCGUGACGGCGCGAGCAGGUGCGAAAGCAGGUCAUAGUGAUCCGGUGGUUCUGAAUGGAAGGGCCAUCGCUCAACGGAUAAAAGGUACUCCGGGGAUAACAGGCUGAUACCGCCCAAGAGUUCAUAUCGACGGCGGUGUUUGGCACCUCGAUGUCGGCUCAUCACAUCCUGGGGCUGAAGUAGGUCCCAAGGGUAUGGCUGUUCGCCAUUUAAAGUGGUACGCGAGCUGGGUUUAGAACGUCGUGAGACAGUUCGGUCCCUAUCUGCCGUGGGCGCUGGAGAACUGAGGGGGGCUGCUCCUAGUACGAGAGGACCGGAGUGGACGCAUCACUGGUGUUCGGGUUGUCAUGCCAAUGGCACUGCCCGGUAGCUAAAUGCGGAAGAGAUAAGUGCUGAAAGCAUCUAAGCACGAAACUUGCCCCGAGAUGAGUUCUCCCUGACUCCUUGAGAGUCCUGAAGGAACGUUGAAGACGACGACGUUGAUAGGCCGGGUGUGUAAGCGCAGCGAUGCGUUGAGCUAACCGGUACUAAUGAACCGUGAGGCUUAACCUU
This 2904-nucleotide ribosomal RNA is filed under the name Escherichia coli. RNAcentral describes it as "23S ribosomal RNA". It matches the Rfam family "Bacterial large subunit ribosomal RNA". The record is from RNAcentral. Lineage: Bacteria; Pseudomonadati; Pseudomonadota; Gammaproteobacteria; Enterobacterales; Enterobacteriaceae.